ACCGUUUGUUUGGGUUGUUGGUUUCAUGAAAGUGAAUCAAGGAAAUGGCUAACCGAGAUUGGUCCCUUAUCCCUGACGAAAUCUGGGCAGCCAUCGGCCGAUACCUGGACAAUCCCAUCGACGUUCUCCGAUUCCGCAGCGUCUGCAGCUCAUGGCGCACUCUCACCCCUCCUUUCGACCAUUCCACUCUUCUUCCCCGAUUCAACUUUCCUGUACCAACUUACUCCUCCACUUUCCAAGCCUUCGUCUCCGAGACCACCGUCUACCGCAUCAACCUCCCCAACCUCCACCUAGCUCACAAUCCAUCAACUUCUUCUUCUUCUUCUGAUUUCGCUAAGGGGUGGCUGAUCAAGAUUGAAGAGUACCAACGAGGAAAGUUCCGUCUUUUAGACUCGCUCUCUUGCCGAAGAAUCAAGGACAUCGCUUGUUUCCCUUCUGAUAAUCUCUUCGACAUCUCUCAGUUGAGUUUGACAAAGCUAACCACGGCUUAUGCGCUUAAAUACGUUGCUGGGUCUUCUUCUAUAGCUGGUGUGAACAGAGUGGUUCUUUCUCCUAAUUCCCACUUGGGUCGACCCGAAGACUGUUCAAUCUUCGUUAUUUACGAUAAUGGAAAGCUGGGUUUUGCUAAGAAUGGUGAGGAGGAUAUUACCCUUGUUGAUUAUCGGAUCCUGGAUUACAACGAUCUCACUGUUUUUAGAGGUCAGCCUUAUGUGGUUGACCGAUGGGGUACGGUUUCAUGGAUCGAUUCUUCGUUGAGAGUGGUUCAAUACUCGCCUCCGUUGUUUGGGCUUGGUCAUCGAAAGCAUUUGGUGGUGUCAAAGGAUGAGCUUUUUGUGGUUGAUAGGUACCUUGAUGAGAAUAGGACUCCAUACCCAGAUGAGAGCAGUAUCACUGAUAACGAUGGUGUUAAUUUCAACAUGCUUCAGCGCCACCCUCGUCGUCGCCGGAGAUACGAUUUCAAUCAUCCCAAAUCAGUAGAUUUCAAGGUGUAUAAGCUUGAUGAAGAGUGGGGAAGAUGGGUUGAGGUCAAGUGUUUGGGAGACGAUGAGUCUUUUGUUUUGACUUAUGACUGUUGUUUCUCUAUUUCAGCUUCUGAGUUUGAGGGGUUUAGAGAGAAUUGCAUUUACUUCACUGAACAAUUUGACAUGGAUUUAGCUCUUAGAAAGUUAGGCAGACUUGGUGGGUGUGUUUUCAGCUUAGAGGAUCAUACCAUUGAGGACCUACCAAGUACACCAGGCUACUCCCAGAUCUUUUGGCCACCUCCUAUUCCAACUCGGCUUUGCACAGACUGAAUGUGAAGAGGAGUCAAAGAAAGAAGGCUUGCAAUUUGGAGAGAUCUCCAAUCAUAUUACUUCACUUCACAAUAUUGAUAAAUGAGUUAUAUACCAUCCAGUUGUAGGGUCCGUUCCUGAUUGAAAAUGAUGUAUUUGAUUGAAUGAAUAUGAGCAAGUGAAUAUGUUAUUAUAUUAAAUAAGAGUCUGGCCCAUGUGUAUAUAUGAUCCCAUAGAAAGUGUUAGAAGAAUGGAUUUUCUAAGAUGAGGGAUUUUCCUCAAACACACUAUGGUGAACAGGAGUCAAAGAAAGAAGGCUUGCAAUUUGGAGAGAUGUCCCAUCUAUAUGACUUCAGAGUAUUGAUUAGUUAGUACUUAGUAAUAUUCCAUCUAGUUUGUAGGGUCUGUUCCUGAGUGAACAUGGUGUAUUUAAUUCAAUGAAUAUGAGCAAUUGGGAGAACCUGGCCCAUGUGUAUAUAUGAUUCCAUAGAAAAUGUGUAAAAAGAAUGGAUUUUAUGAAUGAUUUGUAUUGUAUUGGACAACCCCCACGAAGAGAAUGAGGGAUUUUCCUCAAACACUAUGGUAGGCCAUCUCAAACCCAUUAUAUCA
This is an RNA transcript of Humulus lupulus (European hop), 1880 nucleotides long. It is a transcript of the gene named putative F-box protein At1g65770, with no coding region annotated. The transcript is spliced from 3 exons. NCBI's taxonomy places the organism in Eukaryota, Viridiplantae, Streptophyta, Magnoliopsida, Rosales, Cannabaceae. The record is from RefSeq and is a predicted model, not a curated record.